GACGAACGCUGGCGGCGUGCUUAACACAUGCAAGUCGAACGGAAAGGCCCUGCUUUUGUGGGGUGCUUGAGUGGCGAACGGGUGAGUAACACGUGAGUAACCUGCCCUUGACUUUGGGUUAACUUCAGGAAACUGGGGCUAAUACCCGAUAUGAGCUCCUGCUGCAUGGUGGGGGUUGGAACGUUUCGGCGGUUGGGGAUGGACUCGCGGCUUAUCAGCUUGUUGGUGGGGUAGUUGCUUACCAAGGGUUUGACGGGUAGCCGGCCUGGGAGGGUGACCGGCCACAAUGGGACUGAGGUACGGCCCAGACUCCUACGGGAGGCAGCAGUGGGAAAUAUUACACAGUGAGCGGAAGCCUGAUGCAGCAACGCCGCGUGCGGGAUGACGGCCUUCGGGUUGUAAACCGCUUUCGCCUGUGACGAAGCGUGAGUGACGGUAAUGGGUAAAGAAGCACCCGCUAACUACGUG
This 468-nucleotide ribosomal RNA is filed under the name uncultured bacterium. RNAcentral describes it as "partial 16S ribosomal RNA". It matches the Rfam family "Bacterial small subunit ribosomal RNA", at positions 28 to 507 of the family's 1533-position model. The record is from RNAcentral.